Methylococcus capsulatus str. Bath is the source of this 71-nucleotide regulatory RNA element. It matches the Rfam family "narK RNA". The record is from Rfam. NCBI's taxonomy places the organism in Bacteria, Pseudomonadati, Pseudomonadota, Gammaproteobacteria, Methylococcales, Methylococcaceae.
GGCACAGGUAAUGCUUAACUCGUAUUGAAACCUGCGCCAACGGCGGCGCGGCACCAGGACAAAGGCGUCUU